GGAGCUCAGUGACAGAGCAUCCGACUUGCAGGCAGAAGAUCCCAGGUUCAAUUCCUGGCAUCUGCA
This is a non-coding RNA of Podarcis lilfordi (Lilford's wall lizard), 66 nucleotides long. The record is from the annotation of a GenBank genome assembly. Lineage: Eukaryota; Metazoa; Chordata; Lepidosauria; Squamata; Lacertidae.